This 253-nucleotide ribosomal RNA is filed under the name uncultured bacterium. RNAcentral describes it as "partial 16S ribosomal RNA". It matches the Rfam family "Bacterial small subunit ribosomal RNA", at positions 524 to 776 of the family's 1533-position model. The record is from RNAcentral.
UACGGAGGGAGCUAGCGUUGUUCGAAAUUACUGGGCGUAAAGCGCACGUAGGCGGCUUUGUAAGUUAGAGGUGAAAGCCCGGGGCUCAACUCCGGAACUGCCUUUAAGACUGCAUCGCUUGAAUCCAGGAGAGGUGAGUGGAGUUCCGAGUGUAGAGGUGAAAUUCGUAGAUAUUCGGAAGAACACCAGUGGCGAAGGCGGCUCACUGGACUGGUAUUGACGCUGAGGUGCGAAAGCGUGGGGAGCAAACAGG